AUGACCCUCCUUUGUUGGAUAUUAUGUACUGUUGUUAGUUUGAAGCACUCCUCUGGUUUGAAGGAUAGAUACCUUCCUGGGAUCAAGUGCAUCCUAACUCAAAAUUACCGAUGCAAGUCGAAGAAGGAUUGGCCGGUGCUGCCGGCUGGCGUCAAGUUCGAUCCCACGGAUCAGGAGCUGAUCGAGCACCUUGAGGCCAAAGUGAGUGCUGACAGCGCGAGAUCUCACCCUCUCAUCGAUUUAUUCAUACAAACCAUCGACAGUGAGCACGGCAUAUGCUACACCCAACCUGAGAAACUUCCAGAUGUUAUGAAAAUGCCAACUACGUACACUAAAACCUGUAUUCGACAAUACUGCAGGUAUCACACUGAGUGGCCUAAGGAAGCAUUUCUUCCAGCACAAUUCCAAGGCAUUCAAAAGGGGCACUUGGACGCGUCGCAAGAUACAGUCGGAGUGCAGCAUGCACGCGAUGUGGCACAAGACCGGCAAUACCUUGCCGGUGAUGGUCAACGGCCGGUAGACGGGAGCAAAAAGGUUCUGGUGCUGCACACCAACAAGAACUUCGACCAGCAGAGGACCAACUGGGUGAUGCACCAGUACCACCUCGGGGACCUAGAGCAAGAGAAGGAGCGGGAGCUGGUCCUCUGCAAGAUUUUGUACCAGGCGAACACUAGGGCCAGGAGUAAAAAGAUUAUAAGUUAG
RNAcentral lists this ribosomal RNA (702 nucleotides) under Triticum aestivum (bread wheat). RNAcentral's name for it is "partial small subunit ribosomal RNA". Lineage: Eukaryota; Viridiplantae; Streptophyta; Magnoliopsida; Poales; Poaceae. The record is from RNAcentral.